Molecule: ribosomal RNA, 494 nt
Filed under: uncultured bacterium
Lineage: Bacteria
Description: bacterial SSU rRNA
Rfam family: Bacterial small subunit ribosomal RNA
Source: RNAcentral
AAAGGAAUAGACGGGGGCCCGCACAAGCGGAGGAACAUGUGGUUUAAUUCGAUGAUACGCGAGGAACCUUACCCGGGCUUGAAAGUUAGUGACGUACUUGGAAACAGGUAUUCCCUUCGGGGCACGAAACUAGGUGCUGCAUGGUUGUCGUCAGCUCGUGCCGUGAGGUGUCGGCUUAAGUGCCAUAACGAGCGCAACCCUUAUCAUCAGUUACCAUCAGGUAAUGCUGGGGACUCUGGUGAGACUGCCACCGUAAGGUGUGAGGAAGGUGGGGAUGACGUCAAAUCAGCACGGCCCUUACGUCCGGGGCGACACACGUGUUACAAUGGGCGGUACAGAGGGCAGCUACCUAGCGAUAGGAUGCGAAUCUCUUAAAGCCGUUCUCAGUUCGGAUCGGAGUCUGCAACUCGACUCCGUGAAGCUGGAUUCGCUAGUAAUCGCGCAUCAGCCAUGGCGCGGUGAAUACGUUCCCGGGCCUUGUACACACCGCCCGU